UACAGAGGGUGCAAGCGUUAAUCGGAAUUACUGGGCGUAAAGGGUGCGUAGGUGGUCGAGUAAGUCAGGCGUGAAAUCCUUGGGCUUAACCUGAGAACUGCGUUUGAUACUGUUCGACUCGAGUGUGGUAGAGGGUAGUGGAAUUCCCGGUGUAGCGGUGAAAUGCGUAGAUAUCGGGAGGAACAUCAGUGGCGAAGGCGGCUACCUGGACUAACACUGACACUGAGGCACGAAAGCGUGGGGAGCAAACAGG
Molecule: ribosomal RNA, 253 nt
Filed under: uncultured bacterium
Lineage: Bacteria
Description: partial 16S ribosomal RNA
Rfam family: Bacterial small subunit ribosomal RNA
Source: RNAcentral